AAAUCAGAUAAUAUCAAAAAAGAAAUCCCACCUUCAAAUUUUUGUGGAUCAAAUAAUUUAACAAUCAACAAGAGAAAUCUUGAUGAUUUCUGUUUCCUUCCGCAUUCUGCAUCAGAAAUUGUUCAGAGCUUUCCAUGAAGCAAACAAAACCCUGGGAUGGCUCAUCGCUGAGUUGAGAUCUGCACUGAUAUCAUCCAACAGCGGAAGUUAUGAUAUGGAUACAAACAUGUGAUAUCACUGAAGGCAUUAAUGCAUUUCGAGCUGUUGAUGAAUUUUCAAAACCAUAAGAACAUGCAUUCUAUAUUUAUUAGCGAAGCAUCGCUUAAAAUCUCAAAUGAACCCAGCAAAUAUCUUCUGUGAACUUGAGUUUUGCCUAAGAAUUUUGAUGAGUUUAUGAGUUGGAGUCAUUUAAUAUACUGUAGCUAAGAAUUUAGCAGAAUUUUGGCAUGCUUUGAUGAUAGUUUAAUGUCCAUUUCACUGAAGCUGGCCUAGAUGACUCUCUGGAUUGAUAGAUAGGCCAUAGAAUGUAGUCCAAAGUCAGUUGGGUCCCUCUGUUACAAUUUACAUUAUGGGUUCUUUGUCCUAACAGACAGGAUUGUUCAUCCAUUAGAAAACCUCCCCAUGUGUUCUUCUCUGAUUCUGUUUAAUUUUCAGUGGAAGGAUUUU
Long non-coding RNA from Cucurbita maxima (winter squash), 666 nucleotides. RefSeq lists it as uncharacterized. NCBI's taxonomy places the organism in Eukaryota, Viridiplantae, Streptophyta, Magnoliopsida, Cucurbitales, Cucurbitaceae. The transcript is spliced from 3 exons. The record is from RefSeq and is a predicted model, not a curated record.